Molecule: ribosomal RNA, 468 nt
Filed under: uncultured bacterium
Lineage: Bacteria
Description: partial 16S ribosomal RNA
Rfam family: Bacterial small subunit ribosomal RNA
Source: RNAcentral
GACGAACGCUGGCGGCGCGCCUAACACAUGCAAGUCGAACGGAGCUGAGAGAAGCUUGCUUUUCUUAGCUUAGUGGCGAACGGGUGAGUAACGCGUGAGUAACCUGUCCUGGAGUGGGGGACAACAGUUGGAAACGACUGCUAAUACCGCAUAAGCCCACGAUCCGGCAUCGGAUUGAGGGAAAAGGAUUUAUUCGCUUCAGGAUGGACUCGCGUCCAAUUAGCUAGUUGGUGAGGUAACGGCCCACCAAGGCGACGAUUGGUAGCCGGACUGAGAGGUUGAACGGCCACAUUGGGACUGAGACACGGCCCAGACUCCUACGGGAGGCAGCAGUGGGGGAUAUUGCACAAUGGGGGAAACCCUGAUGCAGCGACGCCGCGUGGAGGAAGAAGGUUUUCGGAUUGUAAACUCCUGUCGUUAGGGACGAUAAUGACGGUACCUAACAAGAAAGCACCGGCUAACUACGUG